UACGUAGGGGGCAAGCGUUGUCCGGAUUAUUGGGCGUAAAGAGCGUGUAGGCGGUUUGGUAGGUCCGCUGUGAAAACUCGAGGCUCAACCUCGAGACGCCGGUGGAAACCAUCAGGCUAGAGUCCGGAAGAGGAGAGUGGAAUUCCUGGUGUAGCGGUGAAAUGCGCAGAUAUCAGGAAGAACACCCGUGGCUAAGGCGGCUCUCUAGUACGGUACUGGACGCUGAGACGCGAAAGCGUGGGGAGCGAACAGG
Molecule: ribosomal RNA, 253 nt
Filed under: uncultured bacterium
Lineage: Bacteria
Description: partial 16S ribosomal RNA
Rfam family: Bacterial small subunit ribosomal RNA
Source: RNAcentral